Molecule: ribosomal RNA, 550 nt
Filed under: uncultured bacterium
Lineage: Bacteria
Description: bacterial SSU rRNA
Rfam family: Bacterial small subunit ribosomal RNA
Source: RNAcentral
AAAUAGAUACCCCGGUAGUCCACGCCGUAAACGAUGAGUGCUAAGUGUUGGGGGUUUCCGCCCCUCAGUGCUGGCAGCUAACGCAUUAAGCACUCCGCCUGGGGAGUACGGUCGCAAGACUGAAACUCAAAGGAAUUGACGGGGGCCCGCACAAGCGGUGGAGCAUGUGGUUUAAUUCGAAGCAACGCGAAGAACCUUACCAGGUCUUGACAUCCCGGUGACCACUAUGGAGACAUAGUUUCCCCUUCGGGGGCAACGGUGACAGGUGGUGCAUGGUUGUCGUCAGCUCGUGUCGUGAGAUGUUGGGUUAAGUCCCGCAACGAGCGCAACCCUUAUUCUUAGUUGCCAUCAUUCAGUUGGGCACUCUAAGGAGACUGCCGGUGAUAAACCGGAGGAAGGUGGGGAUGACGUCAAAUCAUCAUGCCCCUUAUGACCUGGGCUACACACGUGCUACAAUGGACGGUACAAACGGUUGCCAACCCGCGAGGGGAGCUAAUCCGAUAAAACCGUUCUCAGUUCGGAUUGUAGGCUGCAACUCGCCUACAUGAAC